Molecule: ribosomal RNA, 468 nt
Filed under: uncultured bacterium
Lineage: Bacteria
Description: partial 16S ribosomal RNA
Rfam family: Bacterial small subunit ribosomal RNA
Source: RNAcentral
GACGAACGCUGGCGGCGUGCUUAACACAUGCAAGUCGAACGGAAAGGCCCUGCUUUUGUGGGGUGCUCGAGUGGCGAACGGGUGAGUAACACGUGAGUAACCUGCCCUUGACUUUGGGAUAACUUCAGGAAACUGGAGCUAAUACCGGAUAGGAGCUCCUGCUGCAUGGUGGGGGUUGGAAAGUUUCGGCGGUUGGGGAUGGACUCGCGGCUUAUCAGCUUGUUGGUGGGGUAGUGGCUUACCAAGGCUUUGACGGGUAGCCGGCCUGAGGGGGUGACCGGCCACAUUGGGACUGAGAUACGGCCCAGACUCCUACGGGAGGCAGCAGUGGGGAAUAUUGAACAAUGGGCGGAAGCCUGAUGCAGCAACGCCGCGUGCGGGAUGACGGCCUUCGGGUUGUAAACCGCUUUCGCCUGUGACGAAGCGUGAGUGACGGUAAUGGGUAAAGAAGCACCGGCUAACUACGUG